GACGAACGCUGGCGGCGUGCUUAACACAUGCAAGUCGAACGGAAAGGCCCUGCUUUUGUGGGGUGCUCGAGUGGCGAACGGGUGAGUAACACGUGAGUAACCUGCCCUUGACUUUGGGAUAACUUCAGGAAACUGGGGCUAAUACCGGAUAGGAGCUCCUGCUGCAUGGUGGGGGUUGGAACGUUUCGGCGGUUGGGGAUGGACUCGCGGCUUAUCAGCUUGUUGGUGGGGUAGUGGCUUACCAAGGCUUUGACGGGUAGCCGGCCUGAGAGGGUGACCGGCCACAUUGGGACUGAGGUACGGCCCAGACUCCUACGGGAGGCAGCAGUGGGGAAUAUUGCACAAUGGGCGGAAGCCUGAUGCAGCAACGCCGCGUGCGGGAUGACGGCCUUCGGGUUGUAAACCGCUUUCGCCUGUGACGAAGCGUGAGUGACGGUAAUGGGUAAAGAAGCACCGGCUAACUACGUG
This 468-nucleotide ribosomal RNA is filed under the name uncultured bacterium. RNAcentral describes it as "partial 16S ribosomal RNA". It matches the Rfam family "Bacterial small subunit ribosomal RNA", at positions 28 to 507 of the family's 1533-position model. The record is from RNAcentral.